This 84-nucleotide transfer RNA is filed under the name Felis catus (domestic cat). It matches the Rfam family "tRNA". From Rfam's summary of the family: Transfer RNA (tRNA) molecules are approximately 80 nucleotides in length. Their secondary structure includes four short double-helical elements and three loops (D, anti-codon, and T loops). The record is from Rfam by way of RNAcentral. Lineage: Eukaryota; Metazoa; Chordata; Mammalia; Carnivora; Felidae.
GCCUGGGUGGCUCAAUCGGUUGAGCAUCUGACUUCGGCUCAGGUCACAUCUCACUGUCCGUGAGUUCGAGCCCCGCGUCGGGCU